GACGAACGCUGGCGGCGUGCCUAACACAUGCAAGUCGAACGCUGAAGCUCAGCUUUUGUUGGGUGGAUGAGUGGCGAACGGGUGAGUAACACGUGAGUAACCUGCCUCCUUCUUUGGGAUAACGCCCGGAAACGGGUGCUAAUACUGGAUAUUCACUGGUCUUCGCAUGGGGGUUGGUGGAAAGGGUUUUUCUGGUGGGGGAUGGGCUCGCGGCCUAUCAGCUUGUUGGUGGGGUGAUGGCCUACCAAGGCUUUGACGGGUAGCCGGCCUGAGAGGGUGACCGGUCACAUUGGGACUGAGAUACGGCCCAGACUCCUACGGGAGGCAGCAGUGGGGAAUAUUGCACAAUGGGCGCAAGCCUGAUGCAGCGACGCCGCGUGAGGGAUGGAGGCCUUCGGGUUGUGAACCUCUUUCGCUCAUGGUCAAGCCGCAACAAUGGUUGUGGUGAGGGUAGUGGGUAAAGAAGCGCCGGCUAACUACGAG
RNAcentral lists this ribosomal RNA (483 nucleotides) under uncultured bacterium. RNAcentral describes it as "partial 16S ribosomal RNA". It matches the Rfam family "Bacterial small subunit ribosomal RNA", at positions 28 to 507 of the family's 1533-position model. The record is from RNAcentral.